RNAcentral lists this ribosomal RNA (464 nucleotides) under Vreelandella stevensii. RNAcentral's name for it is "partial 16S ribosomal RNA". It matches the Rfam family "Bacterial small subunit ribosomal RNA", at positions 338 to 795 of the family's 1533-position model. The record is from RNAcentral. Lineage: Bacteria; Pseudomonadati; Pseudomonadota; Gammaproteobacteria; Oceanospirillales; Halomonadaceae.
CCUACGGGGGGCUGCAGUGGGGAAUAUUGGACAAUGGGCGAAAGCCUGAUCCAGCCAUGCCGCGUGUGUGAAGAAGGCCUUCGGGUUGUAAAGCACUUUCAGUGGGGAAGAAAGCCUUGGGGCUAAUACCCUCGAGGAAGGACAUCACCCACAGAAGAAGCACCGGCUAACACCGUGCCAGCAGCCGCGGUAAUACGGAGGGUGCGAGCGUUAAUCGGAAUUACUGGGCGUAAAGCGCGCGUAGGCGGUCUGAUAAGCCGGUUGUGAAAGCCCCGGGCUCAACCUGGGAACGGCAUCCGGAACUGUCAGGCUAGAGUGCAGGAGAGGAAGGUAGAAUUCCCGGUGUAGCGGUGAAAUGCGUAGAGAUCGGGAGGAAUACCAGUGGCGAAGGCGGCCUUCUGGACUGACACUGACGCUGAGGUGCGAAAGCGUGGGUAGCAAACAGGAUUAGAUACCCCAUAGUC